CCUACGGGUGGCAGCAGUAGGGAAUAUUGCUCAAUGGGGGAAACCCUGAAGCAGCAACGCCGCGUGGAGGAUGAAGGUUUUCGGAUUGUAAACUCCUUUUGUUAGAGAAGAUAAUGACGGUAUCUGACGAAUCAGCACCGGCUAACUCCGUGCCAGCAGCCGCGGUAAUACGGAGGGUGCAAGCGUUACUCGGAUUUACUGGGCGUAAAGAGCGCGUAGGCGGGAUAGCAAGUCAGAAGUGAAAUCCUAGGGCUUAACCAUAGAACUGCAUUUGAAACUGUGAUGCUAGAGUAUGGGAGAGGUAGGUGGAAUGCUUGGUGUAGGGGUAAAAUCCGUAGAGAUCAAGAGGAAUACUCAUUGCGAAGGCGACCUGCUAGAACAUAACUGACGCUGAUGCGCGAAAGCGUGGGGAGCAAACAGGAUUAGAUACCCCAGUAGUC
Molecule: ribosomal RNA, 440 nt
Filed under: uncultured bacterium
Lineage: Bacteria
Description: partial 16S ribosomal RNA
Rfam family: Bacterial small subunit ribosomal RNA
Source: RNAcentral